Molecule: long non-coding RNA, 455 nt
Filed under: Oryctolagus cuniculus (rabbit)
Lineage: Eukaryota; Metazoa; Chordata; Mammalia; Lagomorpha; Leporidae
Description: lncRNA (ENSOCUG00000039140.1)
Source: RNAcentral
AAAAAGAGAUUAGUAGGGAUCCAGCUUUCAGAGGGGGCAGCCUGUGGGCAAAUCCUGACCAUUUUACUUCCUGCACUGGCAGAACUCUCCUCCCAGAUGGGCUACAAAGAGGCAAGUUGAGGGCGGCGGCGAGGCGGCCGCAGGUUCAGCGUCUGGAGCCCAGGGCCUGGACCGCCUUCUCGCCCGCCUUUCCAGGCGGUGGCUGGUCACGUCGCGAGGAGGCGGGGCGGGAGGCGGGGCCUGCGUGGGGCUGGCUGGCGGCCAGGCUUCUUCGCACGUGGAGUCACCCCGAGGAGGAGGCCGCCCGGGUCGCGGACUGGAGGGAUCCGGACCCGCACAGCGGCAGGGAGCCGCCGGGCUCCAGCGCACGCGGGACUGUCCUAUAAAUCAGGCCUUCAUUGUGACGUAGACACGACAGCAGAGACCUCGGGAAUGAUGUUCUGGUGAUCAGCACC